UUUUUUUUAACCUUUGAACUUUAAAAUAUCUAGUUAUGAAAUGGGGGGGUUCAGGAUUCCAAUGUACAAAUGAUUUAGGAAGUGCAAAUAAAAUAACACCGAUUAAAUGGUUCUUGUCCUUUCUUGAUUAAAUAUGUAAAUGAUUUAUUUGAGAUAAAGAAAUAUACAACCAAGCCAGGAACCUCUGGCCUUUCUUUGUUUUGUACAGAUGUAUGUUUUAAGAGUUUAGUGUGUUAUCAAUUUUCUCUGAACAAGUACACAUUUUUGUUUAGGGGCCCCAGCUGAAUAUAUUUGUUCUUUUUCCAAAUCAUAUAGUGUAUUGUUUAGUGUGUGUGAAUACCAUGGUGCCCAUCAAGUAUUUUUUUUAUUAAGGUUUGAAAUCUGGAUAGGAAAGAAUAUCGGAGAAUGGAUAAAAUUUACAGAAAAAUGGACCAAAAUUUUUUUUAAAAAAAAGAAC
This 457-nucleotide long non-coding RNA is filed under the name Mytilus galloprovincialis (Mediterranean mussel). The record is from RNAcentral. Lineage: Eukaryota; Metazoa; Mollusca; Bivalvia; Mytilida; Mytilidae.